UCAGAUUGAACGCUGGCGGCAGGCCUAACACAUGCAAGUCGAACGGUAACAGGAAGAAGCUUGCUUCUUUGCUGACGAGUGGCGGACGGGUGAGUAAUGUCUGGGAAACUGCCUGAUGGAGGGGGAUAACUACUGGAAACGGUAGCUAAUACCGCAUAACGUCGCAAGACCAAAGAGGGGGACCUUCGGGCCUCUUGCCAUCGGAUGUGCCCAGAUGGGAUUAGCUAGUAGGUGGGGUAACGGCUCACCUAGGCGACGAUCCCUAGCUGGUCUGAGAGGAUGACCAGCCACACUGGAACUGAGACACGGUCCAGACUCCUACGGGAGGCAGCAGUGGGGAAUAUUGCACAAUGGGCGCAAGCCUGAUGCAGCCAUGCCGCGUGUAUGAAGAAGGCCUUCGGGUUGUAAAGUACUUUCAGCGGGGAGGAAGGGAGUAAAGUUAAUACCUUUGCUCAUUGACGUUACCCGCAGAAGAAGCACCGGCUAACUCCGUGCCAGCAGCCGCGGUAAUACGGAGGGUGCAAGCGUUAAUCGGAAUUACUGGGC
This 546-nucleotide ribosomal RNA is filed under the name uncultured bacterium. Its description in RNAcentral is "bacterial SSU rRNA". It matches the Rfam family "Bacterial small subunit ribosomal RNA", at positions 24 to 559 of the family's 1533-position model. The record is from RNAcentral.